GGUUUAGGGCAGUUUUGGGGCGGAUUGGGACUAACGGCAAACUGGGGUGAUUUGGGGUGGAUUGGGACUGAUUUGGGGCAAAUAGGGGCAGUUCGGGGCAAUUUUGGGGCAGAUUGGGACUAAUUUGGGGCAUAUCGGGGUGGUUUGGUGCUAUUUGGGGGCAGAUUGGGACUAAUUCGUGGCCUUUUGGGGCUGUUUUGGGGCUAAUUCAGAGCAAUUUGGGGCUGCGAGGGGUGGUUUGGGGCUAAUUCAGAGCGGUUUGGGGCUGAUUGGGGGCGGUUUGGGGCUGAUUCGGGGCGGUUUGGGGCUGAUUCAGGGGGUUUUGGGGCUGAUUCAAGGGGUUUUGGGGGGGGCACUGGGACAAAAUGGUGGCCCCACGUGCUGGCGGCCAUUUUAGGGCCGGGGAAGGGGGGGGGAGGCACAGGGCACACGCGUGUGCCCUCGUGUUGCACGGGGACCCCUCAUUAGUGCUAAUGAGCUAACGGUGCCACCUGUGCCUUCCUCACCGUGCCUCUUUUGGGGUGAAUCCUGCAGUUUUAGGGUCACCUCCGCUGCCUGCCUGCACCCGAAGGGACGCUUCUCUUUGCGGGCGCACCCCGGAUGCAAAAAAUCCGAAUAUUUCACGAUUUAACCUCACUUUCCUCACUCGCACACUGUCUCCUUCGUUCCUCUAAACCCUGCUUAUUUUUGAAUAAUUUUACUACAUUUUUUUAAUACAAAUCUCAGCACUCCCCCUCCCCCCCCAGCAGCAAAAUCUGUGCGUCCUAAAACACUACUUUUUUAUUUUUUCCAAGGGAGAAGCAGCAAUUCGGGGAUUUUGUUCUUUCUGGCUGCGUUUAAAGGGGGGAACUUGUAAAUAUUUAUGGUGCUUAAUCGUGAAAUAAACAUUUAACACAUUUAGGGAGUAGAAAGAUG
Molecule: long non-coding RNA, 915 nt
Filed under: Anser brachyrhynchus (Pink-footed goose)
Lineage: Eukaryota; Metazoa; Chordata; Aves; Anseriformes; Anatidae
Description: lncRNA (ENSABRG00000008474.1)
Source: RNAcentral